This 483-nucleotide ribosomal RNA is filed under the name uncultured bacterium. Its description in RNAcentral is "partial 16S ribosomal RNA". It matches the Rfam family "Bacterial small subunit ribosomal RNA", at positions 28 to 523 of the family's 1533-position model. The record is from RNAcentral.
GAUGAACGCUAGCGGCAGGCUUAAUACAUGCAAGUCGAGGGGGCAGCAAUGUCACCGGCGAACGGGUGCGUAACGCGUAUGCAACCUACCUACAUCAGGGGGAUAGCCCUAGGAAACUGGGAUUAACACCGCAUAAUAUAAGCUACGGCAUCGUAACUUAUUGAAAUAUUUAUAGGAUGUAGAUGGGCAUGCGUAAGAUUAGCUAGUUGGUAAGGUAACGGCUUACCAAGGCUACGAUCUUUAGGGGCUCUGAGAGGAGUAUCCCCCACACUGGCACUGAGAUACGGGCCAGACUCCUACGGGAGGCAGCAGUAGGGAAUAUUGGGCAAUGGAGGCAACUCUGACCCAGCCAUGCCGCGUGCAGGAAGACGGCCCUCUGGGUUGUAAACUGCUUUUGAAUGGGAAGAAUGUGAUGUUUGCGAGCAUUAAUGACGGUACCAUUAGAAUAAGCCACGGCUAACUACGUGCCAGCCGCCGCAGUAA